GGGGUCAUGGUUUAGUGGUAUAAUGUUCCCUUAGCAUGGGAGAGGUCGCGAGUUCGAUUCUUGCUGACUCCA
Molecule: transfer RNA, 72 nt
Filed under: Calycina marina
Lineage: Eukaryota; Fungi; Ascomycota; Leotiomycetes; Helotiales; Pezizellaceae
Rfam family: tRNA
About the family: Transfer RNA (tRNA) molecules are approximately 80 nucleotides in length. Their secondary structure includes four short double-helical elements and three loops (D, anti-codon, and T loops).
Source: Rfam by way of RNAcentral